This 473-nucleotide ribosomal RNA is filed under the name uncultured bacterium. RNAcentral describes it as "bacterial SSU rRNA". It matches the Rfam family "Bacterial small subunit ribosomal RNA", at positions 335 to 799 of the family's 1533-position model. The record is from RNAcentral.
ACUCCUACGGGAGGCAGCAGUAGGGAAUAUUGGUCAAUGGGCGAAAGCCUGAACCAGCCAUGCCGCGUGUCAGAUGAAGGUCCUCUGGAUUGUAAAUGACUUUUCUACGGGAAGAAUGAGCCGUCUGCGGACGGAAGUUGACGGUACCGUAGGAAUAAGCACCGGCUAACUACGUGCCAGCAGCCGCGGUAAUACGUAGGGGUGCAAGCGUUGUCCGGAUUUACUGGGGUUUAAAGGGUACGUAGGCGGUUGUGCCAAGUCUGGGGUGAAAGUUUGCAGCUCAACUGUAAAAUUGCCUUGGAUACUGGUCGGCUAGAGUAGUGGAGCGGUGGCUGGAAUUUAUAGUGUAGCGGUGAAAUGCUUAGAUACUAUGAGGAACACCAAUUGCGAAGGCAGGUCACUGGUCACUAACUGACGCUGAGGUACGAAAGUGUGGGGAUCAAACAGGAUUAGAUACCCCUGGUAGGAUAGCG